AAAUGUCUGGCGGGAGUGGGUUGUUUAUACAAUGACCCGCGCAUCACUGACUGAUUCGCAUUGGCUACCCGCCAAUGUGGCUGGUAGAUUGACAGUGUUAACCGCCAAUUGCAAAAUCCACCCGCAUUUGGCGCGUGGUCGAGUGUUAAUUUCAUGCCAUGGUUAUUAGUCAUGUUCGACUUCGUGCUUCGCUGGGAGAACCGACAUCAUACGUUGAUGAUGUCAAUGUAUCGCGAGAGCGAGUCAAGAAGUUACACUCUCGCGGUACAUUGACGUUAUCAACCUGUCAGCGCAGCAAGAAGUCGAACACACGUAUUUGCGGGCGCGCGCCUCCGUCCUCGUGAGUUGGAUUUUAACCGUUUACCUCAGACGACAGUUUUCAUGUCUAUUGUAGAAACUAAAUGCCUAAUACAUGGACUUUCCCAAACACCCCUAUCGUUUCAUCAGAAAUGGACUGUCCCAAAAGUUCGCGCGGGGGUUGCCAGGUUACGGAGCGGGAGAGAGAACCGGCGGCACGUUGUAGAUAGUUUAUAGACCGAAACAGAUGGAUUAAGUGCCAAAGUAUUGAAGUGUUUAUUGAUUAUGUAUACGUGUGCAUGCAUCACGAUAACCACACAUUUCUUAUUCAAUAAACAAACCUACAUUUCUUGAGAUAUCGUUGUCUUGACCAGCAACCUGUAGCCUUCAGCAAUCCAACCAGUGGUUGAAAAAGAGAUUUUACAUCUAUGGCAAAUUCUAAGGUCAUUUUCUUGUUGUGUUUUGAUGUUUUCCAUUGGCUGAAGAAUCAGCAAUCCAGACCAGCUAAAACCAGCCUGGCCAUCUUAAACCAGCCUGACCAGCUAAGACCAGUCACCCGACCAGCUAAGACCAGUCACCCGACCAGCUAAGACCAGCCACCCGACCAGCUAAGACCAGCCACCCGACCAGCUAAGACCAGCCACCCGACCAGCUAAGACCAGCUUAAACCAGCCUGGCCAUCUUAAACCAGCCUGGCCAUCUUAAACCAGCCUGGCCAUCUUAAACCAGCCUGACCAGCCACCCGACCAGCUAAGACCAGCUUAAACCAGCCUGGGCAGCUUAAACCAGCUAAGACCAGCCAUCCUGACCAGCCAUCCUGACCAGCUAAAACCAGCCUGACCAGCUAAAAAGUCGCCAAAACCCCUCUUAAACCAGCAUGAAACACCAGCUAUGACCAGGCUGGGAGACCAGCUAAAACCAGCUUGACCAGCUUAAGCUAGUUUUAGCUGUUUUUUUCAGCAGGGUGAUCAGUAAAAGCUGACACUUACGCUGCAUGCUGCCUUAACUCCUCCAGUUUGCAUUGCAAUUUAUCAUUCGCCUGCUCCGUCUAGAAAAACCAUGCCAGUUUAGAAGAUUAGCUUUUAUUUAACUAAGUUAACAAAAACACCUGGUGAUGAGCUAAAAAUGUCAUUACCAUGAUAAUUCUUUCGAACAUGAGCGCCAUCUGCCCUACGGCCUCACUCAGCUCUCGGCUCAGCUUGCUGUUUUCAUCUUGCAGAUUGCGGUUCAGCUCCAGGAUCUUUGAGACGUUAUCUGCCGGCUCGCACCUAUGGAAACAAAGAUAUUGUCACAUCCACAACUGCACAGAUGAUUUAUUUCUCGUCCCAAUUUUGCAUUUUUGUAGAGACAUAAGGACGUCAUACCCAGUCAAUACAGGAGCAACUCCUCCACGAGCGUGUAGCAGCAUCACUUGAGGAUCUUGAACCUGAGUUAGAAAAACAAUAAAGCUGAAUUUUCAUAACAUGAAGCUAAAAACAUUAACCUGAAUUAUAACUGCUCAAAUAUCCGCUUAAAAAAUAUAAAAUUUCUAGGUACCUGC
Non-coding RNA from Misgurnus anguillicaudatus (oriental weatherfish), 1837 nucleotides. The record is from RefSeq and is a predicted model, not a curated record. Lineage: Eukaryota; Metazoa; Chordata; Actinopteri; Cypriniformes; Cobitidae.